ACCACUGUACUCCACCUCCACUCAUCCGGCAUCCUUUUGGUCCUGAAGAUCGCAUUGAACCUGGAGAGCCACAAAAAGAGGGAUCUAAUACGAGGACUUCCCAUGGGGUCACCCAUCCUAGUACUACUCUUGCCCAAGCACGCUUAGCUUCGGAGUUCUGAUGGGAUCCGGUGCGUUAGUGCUGGUAUGAUCGCAUCCCGCACUAACAGAAAUUAUGUUUGGGUUUUCUCCCCUUUUUCUUAACAGAAAUUAUGAAUCUUUUUUCUUCUUAAUUUUACAUUCUGCUAAUCAUGUUUGUUAAGUUGGUAAGUUUUCCCUCAUGUUCUUUCUUUACUUCUGUAUUUUCUUAAUUUGAAGUUUUAUUCAUUUUUUCGACGUUGGUUUCUCUGUUCUUUUGAAUAAUUUCUUGUUAUAUUUUCUAUAAGCAUGUCUGAAUUGUAUAUGCAGGUUUGGAAAGAAAUACCUAGGUGCACAUUCUUUGUUUUUAAUUUUUUAUUUUUAUUCUGGUGGAGCAAAAUGAGACCUUUAGUGUGAAAAUAUUAUUAUGAAAUAGUCGCUCAGGAACAAACCAAAUUAUCCAAUAUAUUUAGGAUGUUAAGAACUAAUGGUACAAGAUAUCGUUUGGAAAUAAUUUCUUUUGCCAAUGACAAAGAAACAUUAUUACGGGAUCCAUUAGCAUGCAACAGCUUUUGGACUGUCACUGAUUGUUAGUUCUAUUUAUUCCUAGUAAUGCAUGUCCUUUUAUCCUCUACUGAGGUCCAAAAUUUACGCUUAAUACACAUAUAAAUAUGCCAAUAUGACUAAAAGAGUAUUAUUCAGAUAAUAUAGCCAAUAAUUUGUCAUAUUUGAUCUUUCCUAUGAAUUUUAUGCUUAAAUGUUUUAUAAUACUUUUCGUCCCUUUAGUUCAAAAUAAUUUUCAGAAUUUGCUAGCACUAAAAUUAAAUGUGAGCAUUCGCAGUUUGUACAACAAAUCAAUACUUUUUACGAUUAAGUUUGUUUGUAGAAGUUCGAGUCGUCUAAUGCGUCUCUCAUUUUUAAGGUCCUAAUAUUUCCAAAGCACCUAAACUCUGUAGAACUUAAUGAUCACACACUUUUUUGCAGGUAUGAGGAAAAGCUUAUUGAACUACUUACAAUGUCGAACCCGACGGCCGACAUAGGACAUCCAUCCCUCGAUAGUAGAAAGCUCUCAGAAAAUUUAGUGGCCAAGAUUUGUUAUCCAAAUUGGCGUUGUUCAAUUUUCAAUGUUACUGAACCUUAGCAACUAAAGUGACUAUCUUUCUUCCUGAUGCUAAAGCUGAAGUUAUAGAAUCAAAGCAGUUAACUCAGGUUUUAUAUUGACCCAUAGAAGGUAUAUUACAUUAUUAGCUCAUCUUUCUCUUUUUUAUAGUUUGCUCUUGGAUAGUUUAAUCUUAUUUUUCUUUGUAGAUACUGAUUCAUAUUGCAGCAUAAUCCAUUGUUGUUUGAUCUAUGUAAUGAGUGUGUGCAAUAUAUUAAUGGAAAGUCUCAUCUAUGUGACUGUGAAAGCUUUGAAUCGAAGGUAUGUACACUUCUGUUAUCACGUAUAUGGUAGCAUUUUUAUUUAUCCAGCUGAACUCUUUUAUAUUCAGAUAAACUUUUCUCUGUCUGUAUGUCACCAAUAACAUACCGUUACAUUCUAAUUACUGAAAAAAGAUAUUUAAUUUUCUGCUUAUAAUUUUAGCCAUUGGUUUUUGUUAAAUUCUAAAUGGAGAAGUAGGACUAAAAUUAGUAGCAUGCAAGGGAUGGAAGUUUGGCCAUCAUUACCACUUCAAAAGGAUACUACAAACUACUGGACAAGAUACCUAGGUUGAGCUCAGAUGGUAACUUAUUGGUGGGGUGGGGUGGGACGGUGGGAAAGCUUCUGGCUAGAAUAUGCUUUGUUUAGAGUUUGUUUUAUAUGAAUAGUGUAGCGCCAUCUUCAGAGUCCAAGAGUACCCCCUAUAAUGUGGUAAGUGUCUGUCCGUAUUGCACGAUAUCUUGCGUUGGCGUAUUUUUAUACUUAAUUAUCAUUUAGGUUCAACGUACAUAUAUUCAUUGCAUGGGUUCAUAUAGCAAAGUACUACUGCCCAUUAUUCUUUUUCUUUGAUGAUGGUGUAAGUUUGUCUGAAUUUUUCUACUCAAAUGUUAUUGUGAUAUCUACAAAGUAUUUUCUGCAUUAUUCAUCAUUUUAGUUCUCCCGAAUAGUUUUUAAACUUCAAUUCAAAUGAAGAUGGUAUUUGAGACGUUGAGUUGGUCUCUUUACAUUUUGAAAAAAUGUCUCUAGGCAGCUUGAAGUAUUGUUACUGCCAAAACAUUCUAUGUAAGCUUCACAUCAUUACUUAAGAGUUCACUUGUGGCUGUUUGUUGGCGGGAUUUGAUUGCUGUAGAUUCUACCCGCCUGCACUUUAGUUACCCACUUUUCCUUCUAAUUUGUGCAUGUUCAUAUAGUAAAAUGUCCCACUAUUAGUGCAAGAUUAGUUAAUCUAAAUACAACUUCUCUGUUACAUCACAUUUUUUCAAAAAAGGAAUCCCAAAAAAAAAAGAAGAAAAAGAGAAGUAAGAGGGAAAGAAGAUUUAGAUUCAUUUACUCAUGAAACAGAUUGAAAGAACUAAAGUGAGGAGCCGUAGUUGAGAUAUUGUACAUAAUUGGAAACUCACAUUUUAAUUUAAUUUCUAACGUGUGAACAAGAAGAAAUGAUGGUUAUCUAUAAUCUUAGUUGUCCAACUUUAUUUUCUUUAAUAGAUAUAGUAAUUAUUCUGAAAUUUUAAUAGAUGUUGCAUUAGAAAAUCUUCAUGAUGUUGUAGGGAAACAGAAAGAGAGACAUUUACUUGGUAUUUUGUCACUUUUGCAUAACAUAGAUACAGACGAAGUAUGAAAAAAGUGUGAGAGUAUUUUAAUUUGUCUAAUAUGCAUGUCUAAUGUUGAAAUUCUUGAGUUUUUGCAAGACUCAAAUUUGUGUAAAGAUGCUAGAAUGAUUUUGUAUUCCACUAUUAGGUGUAAUAGUAGUUCCAUGGAGUUGAACCUCCUUUCUUGUGGUAUUAGUAACUACUUUUAGCUUUGUUGUAGUUAUCUGCUCAGAAAAUAAAGUGUGCAAUAUAUUACUAAUGCUCUUUUGUUUUUGUUUUUGUUUUUGUUUGUGUUUUUGUUUUUCCUUUCCUUCAUUGAGCCGAUGGUCGAUUGGAAACAACCUCUCUGCCCUAUGGGGUAGGGGUAAGGCUCGUCUAUAUAUUACCCUCCCCAGACCCUAUUUUGUGGGACUAUACUGGGUAGUUGUUGUUGUUGUAAUAUAUGAAACUUAUUGGAUUUUAAUAGAUUUUGCAGGAAAAGCUUAAUUGUGAAUUCUUUCUUCAUAAUACUAUUUGAGACAUACAAGAGGGGUUGCUCUGCCCCAUUUCCAACCGAGAGGUUGUGAGUUCGAGUCUCCCCAAAAGCAAGGUGGGAAGUUCUUGGAGGGAAGGAUGCCGGGGGUCUAUUUGGAAACAGCCUCUCUGCCUAAGGGUAGGGGUAAGGUGUGCGUACACACUACCCUCCCCAUCCCCUACUAAGUGGGAUUAUACUGGGUUGUCGUAGUUGUUGUAUAAUACUAUUUGAGACAUUGCAUUGGGAAUUUUCAGGUGGCACAACCACCAUGCUUGCAAGCAUGAGCAGAGAAUAAGAUAGGGGUGCGCACUAAAAGUCAGAGUGUUGAUAGAUAUUGACAUGCCUACUGCUUGCUGAAUUUUAGUGAUAGUAUUACCACACAUCACAUUCAUCAGCUAGAAGCUUUCAUAAGGAUAAUCAUUUUCUUGAUCACCUAGCGGGUAGUGUUUAUUUUAUAUGGGCUACUACUCAGAUGGAAGCCAAGAUCGAAGCCAUCGUGAAGACUAGAAAAUUUUGGCUAGGGGUACUUUUGCCAACGACCUCCUUGAAAACAAGCUGUUAAAUGAGGAAGUUGGCCAAAAGGCAAUUCACAUUCCACAGGAGAAUUUUAUAAUGUAGAAAGAUUUAUAGUAGGGGAUGGAAGUUGUAAUUGCUAAAAAGGCUUUGAUCAUUUUUUGCUACAAUGUACUAAAUUAGAUGAGAGAAUUAGUGUUCUCUUACCUUCUGAAACCAGAUAUAUAUUUGAUCCAAGAUACUAUUUUAUUUUAUUUUAUAUCUAAGUGUAGAUUAAUUUAAGCCACAAGGAAAAUAAAGCUUGGAUUCUCUUGUGUAGUUCCAUCAUUUUGAAUCUUUUUUUAAUCUCACUUUGGAUAAAAAAGAAUUAGUUACCUCUUGUAGC
This 4256-nucleotide long non-coding RNA is filed under the name Nicotiana benthamiana. RNAcentral's name for it is "long non-coding RNA (NBEN_LNC026174)". The record is from RNAcentral. Lineage: Eukaryota; Viridiplantae; Streptophyta; Magnoliopsida; Solanales; Solanaceae.